Hordeum vulgare subsp. vulgare (domesticated barley) is the source of this 1894-nucleotide long non-coding RNA. RefSeq lists it as uncharacterized. Lineage: Eukaryota; Viridiplantae; Streptophyta; Magnoliopsida; Poales; Poaceae. The transcript has 3 exons. The record is from RefSeq and is a predicted model, not a curated record.
GGAUUCCAACGGUACACGAGAUGACAAGGGGUUCAUCGAGGUGUGUGGUGGUAGGCUCUUUCGUUGGACCCGCUGCCUGUUCGGCAUCGGCUCCAUAACAGUCAUGAACCAACUAGCCUGUCCUUCCAUUUGUGGUAUUGAUGGCCAUGGACCACGGUUCUAGUAGUCGGCAAAGCACGUAUCUACUAACUGCUCCUAUCCAGGAUGCGUGCAAAAGGUUCCCCUGGAGGUUGGGGCACACCGUGGAUGGCUUAAACCCGCCCUUCUUCAGUUACAUUCUAGAUUGUGGUGCUGAUCUCAGUCAGGAAAAGGAAGAGAACAUUAUUGUUCUUCAUCUGUCCGUGAAGAAAGGUACUAGCAACUGCUACUACAACCUAGUACAAGAACUUCCUUUUAUCACACUUGCUGCUGCUUUUUACUAGAAUUGUCACAUAUGAGUUGCCAUUUGUUAUUUUCGUUUUGUUUUGGGGGCCUGCUAUAUUAUAAAUACCAAGUUAUACCUGAGUUUUUGUCAAAGUAUUACUUGAAAGUACAAAUGAAUUUUGAAUGAGUGGAAAACUUAGUAGUAGGCUCAUUUUAUUAGUUUUCUUCAGUACGAUCAUGCCUUGUUUUCGUAUCAUUUUGUUUAUGUUGGCAGAAUUAUUGCACAUAAUUAUAGUUCACAUAUGAUGUUGCAUUCGGAAAUCGAUUUGAACUCAUUGAGAUGCUCAAGGAGUCACAAACACUCGUCUUGCAAUGCAAGCACUUGUGCUGAUGACCAUCCAUCCUUGGUACAUUUAAUUACAUGGCAAUUUCUAGGAUUCUGGGUUGCGCUGAUGGUCUCUAAUGCAAGCACUUGUGCUUCUCGUGGUGAUUAUGGUAAAAUAAUUAGUGGAUUUAGCCCUCAAUUUUAGUCCUAUGAGUUUUUGUCUUUUGCCGGGUAUUGUGUUGCAUGCGCUGGAGUGUUUCCCUUGUCGACGUGCUGGGUAAUGUGUGUGCUGGUUGCAGUUGGUCCUUGGUUGAUCUCCAUGCCAGUGGUUGGAAUGUUUUGGCUGUGUGAUAUGUGUGAUGGUUUACCAGGCUUUGUUAUAAAGAAGCCCCUUAUGGCAUGUCCUCUAAAACACUAUAACUCUGAUUCGUCUACUAGUGAUGACAUGGUUGUUUGAUUCCUAGGGUUGUUAUCAAAUUCUGGCAUGUUCUGUCCUAUGUACCCUAACAGUGCAUUCCUGAUAUCAAUCGUUCCUAUGAUCAUGUACAGUUCAUUUGGUCAUUUUCACUGUUGCUUGAUCAUCUAUUGUUGCUCGAUUGUCUAAAUCUUCUUGAUUUGGAAAGCUAGACAUGCUAUUUCCUAACUGCUAGCUCCAUAACAGAACAUGUAUUUCUUUUCACUCAUUCAUGACUCUCAUUUUAAUGGGUUUUGUCAAUGAAACAAUGCAAGAUAGGAGUGGGAUCACUGAAUUGUUUUACAUAGAUUAGAUGACCGGCCGAUUGCUAUUUUGUUGUGUGCAUGUUUACUGGACACAUACAUUACACUUUUUUUAGCUUGCUCAUUAUAGACUGGACAUUGGUCAUGUGGAAGGACUAGCAGACGGAUGGCUGCUUGCCCAUCCUAGCAAACAUGGUGAGCUUCCCCCCUCCUCCACAUCUGCAUAGCACGCACAGUUUGUAUGUUUUGGUUUUCUCGCGUGAUUUGAGAACAAAGGCGCAAGCAUGGUUCAAAGUAGACUACUCUCCUCUGCUGGUAUGGUCACUCGGUUCUGAACUUUAAAUUGUAUAUAAUCUUAAAGUGGAGUAAUCCCCUGUAUCAAAUCUGACUUCACCAUGAUUUGAGUGGAAUAAUAAGAAGAAUAUGCAUAGCUUCUUGUUGUUAGUUUGUUUGGCAUAAAAAUUAACAUGCGGUGACAAUUCUUUUGUU